UACGUAGGGUGCGAGCGCUGUCCGGAAUUAUUGGGCGUAAAGAGCUCGUAGGCGGUCUGUCGCGUCUGCUGUGAAAACCCGAGGCUCAACCUCGGGCCUGCAGUGGGUACGGGCAGACUAGAGUGCGGUAGGGAGAAUGGAACUCCUGGUGUAGCGGUGGAAUGCGCAGAUAUCAGGAAGAACACCGAUGGCGAAGGCAGUUCUCUGGGCCGUAACUGACGCUGAGGAGCGAAAGCGUGGGGAGCGAACAGG
Molecule: ribosomal RNA, 252 nt
Filed under: uncultured bacterium
Lineage: Bacteria
Description: partial 16S ribosomal RNA
Rfam family: Bacterial small subunit ribosomal RNA
Source: RNAcentral